This 550-nucleotide ribosomal RNA is filed under the name Colletotrichum sp. AX38. RNAcentral describes it as "eukaryotic LSU rRNA". The stretch from base 225 to 378 matches the Rfam family "5.8S ribosomal RNA". Lineage: Eukaryota; Fungi; Ascomycota; Sordariomycetes; Glomerellales; Glomerellaceae. The record is from RNAcentral.
AGUAAAAAGUCGUAACAAGGUCUCCGUUGGUGAACCAGCGGAGGGAUCAUUACUGAGUUUACGCUCUACAACCCUUUGUGAACAUACCUAUAACUGUUGCUUCGGCGGGCAGGGUCUCCGUGACCCUCCCGGCCUCCCGCCCCCGGGCGGGUCGGCGCCCGCCGGAGGAUAACCAAACUCUGAUUUAACGACGUUUCUUCUGAGUGGUACAAGCAAAUAAUCAAAACUUUUAACAACGGAUCUCUUGGUUCUGGCAUCGAUGAAGAACGCAGCGAAAUGCGAUAAGUAAUGUGAAUUGCAGAAUUCAGUGAAUCAUCGAAUCUUUGAACGCACAUUGCGCCCGCCAGCAUUCUGGCGGGCAUGCCUGUUCGAGCGUCAUUUCAACCCUCAAGCUCUGCUUGGUGUUGGGGCCCUACAGCUGAUGUAGGCCCUCAAAGGUAGUGGCGGACCCUCCCGGAGCCUCCUUUGCGUAGUAACUUUACGUCUCGCACUGGGAUCCGGAGGGACUCUUGCCGUAAAACCCCCAAUUUCCAAAGGUGACCUCGAUCAG